GCUUUCCAGACCAGGCUGGGGGAGUUAGAGGGAGACAGAAGAUAUGCCCUGAAAUCCAUGAGUGAGCCUGGGAGCUCCUGUGCACAGCCCUCCUGCAAAUUCCACCAUGCAGGUUUGGCAGAACACUGGAAAACAGCUCACAAUACACAAAGCUGGGAAAUGAAGAUUGAGAGGUUUACUUAUGGAAGAAGCAACACCCAAGAGGAAGCAGAAGACACAUUACAGUUGUGACCUCUCUCCACUCCAGGAACCUUGCAGGCAACAGAUAGAGGUUGAUGUGGCCAAGAGAAGGAAUGAGCUUUGCCUUCAAGAGCUACAACUUCGUGUCCUCAACAAACAAGCAUGGUGCUUGGAGGUGAUGAAACAGUUACAUCUCCCAAUACUCAAAUCAGAAGUAAAGUUCAAAUCUCAGCACCUCACAGAGUAUUAAAUAAAGCUUUCUUGUGUU
This 448-nucleotide long non-coding RNA is filed under the name Gallus gallus (chicken). RNAcentral's name for it is "lncRNA (ENSGALG00010010069.1)". Lineage: Eukaryota; Metazoa; Chordata; Aves; Galliformes; Phasianidae. The record is from RNAcentral.